Molecule: ribosomal RNA, 445 nt
Filed under: uncultured bacterium
Lineage: Bacteria
Description: bacterial SSU rRNA
Rfam family: Bacterial small subunit ribosomal RNA
Source: RNAcentral
AACGAACGCUGGCGGCAUGCCUAACACAUGCAAGUCGAACGAGACCUUCGGGUCUAGUGGCGCACGGGUGCGUAACGCGUGGGAAUCUGCCCUUGGGUUCGGAAUAACAGUUAGAAAUGACUGCUAAUACCGGAUAAUGUCUUCGGACCAAAGAUUUAUCGCCCAGGGAUGAGCCCGCGUAGGAUUAGCUAGUUGGUGAGGUAAAGGCUCACCAAGGCGACGAUCCUUAGCUGGUCUGAGAGGAUGAUCAGCCACACUGGGACUGAGACACGGCCCAGACUCCUACGGGAGGCAGCAGUGGGGAAUAUUGGACAAUGGCGAAAGCCUGAUCCAGCAAUGCCGCGUGAGUGAUGAAGGCCUUAGGGUUGUUAAAGGCUCUUUUACCCGGGAUGAUAAUGACAGUACCGGGAGAAUAAGCCCGGCGUAACUCCGUGCCAGCAGCCGC